This 224-nucleotide unclassified non-coding RNA is filed under the name uncultured fungus. RNAcentral describes it as "sequence contains ITS1". The record is from RNAcentral. Lineage: Eukaryota; Fungi.
GUAUUGAUUGCGUGUGACCGCAAAAGAAAAAACAUUCUACACUGUAUCAAGUUUUAUGUGAAAACGCAAGCCCUCCUGCAAAGGGGGGCCCACGCGGUGAUGCACAAAAGGGGUGAGAUGGAUGUGUGAGAGCACUCGAGCGUGCACAACCUUUGAAGGUCAGCGACAGCUCUUUGUGCCUCGGUUUUACAAUAAUGAUCCUUCCGCAGGUUCACCUACGGAAA